This is a non-coding RNA of Podarcis lilfordi (Lilford's wall lizard), 71 nucleotides long. The record is from the annotation of a GenBank genome assembly. Lineage: Eukaryota; Metazoa; Chordata; Lepidosauria; Squamata; Lacertidae.
GGGCCAUAGCCCUGUGGUAGAGCUUCUGUUUUGCAUGCAGAAGGAACUAGGUUCAAUCCCUGGCAUAUCCA